RNAcentral lists this transfer RNA (74 nucleotides) under Sclerotinia sclerotiorum 1980 UF-70. Its description in RNAcentral is "tRNA-Ile (TAT) (tRNA-Ile-TAT-1-1)". It matches the Rfam family "tRNA". From Rfam's summary of the family: Transfer RNA (tRNA) molecules are approximately 80 nucleotides in length. Their secondary structure includes four short double-helical elements and three loops (D, anti-codon, and T loops). The record is from RNAcentral. Lineage: Eukaryota; Fungi; Ascomycota; Leotiomycetes; Helotiales; Sclerotiniaceae.
UAUUUCAUCACAGAGUGGUUAGCGUGUCGUUCUUAUAAUGCGAAAGUCGUGGGUUCGACACCCACCUGGAGUAA